This 69-nucleotide transfer RNA is filed under the name Ictidomys tridecemlineatus (thirteen-lined ground squirrel). Its description in RNAcentral is "Spermophilus tridecemlineatus (thirteen-lined ground squirrel) tRNA". It matches the Rfam family "tRNA". From Rfam's summary of the family: Transfer RNA (tRNA) molecules are approximately 80 nucleotides in length. Their secondary structure includes four short double-helical elements and three loops (D, anti-codon, and T loops). The record is from Rfam by way of RNAcentral. Lineage: Eukaryota; Metazoa; Chordata; Mammalia; Rodentia; Sciuridae.
GGGAUUGUGGCUCAGUGGUAGAGUAUUUGCCUGGCAUGCAUGAGACGCUGGGUUCAAUCCUCAGCACCA